This 305-nucleotide ribosomal RNA is filed under the name uncultured bacterium. RNAcentral's name for it is "bacterial SSU rRNA". It matches the Rfam family "Bacterial small subunit ribosomal RNA", at positions 335 to 640 of the family's 1533-position model. The record is from RNAcentral.
ACACCUACGGGACGCAGCAGUGGGGAAUAUUGCACAAUGGGGGAAACCCUGAUGCAGCGACGCCGCGUGAGUGAAGAAGUAUUUCGGUAUGUAAAGCUCUAUCAGCAGGGAAGAAAUACUGACCUUACGGUCAGCAGACGGUACCUGACUAAGAAGCCCCGGCUAACUACGUGCCAGCAGCCGCGGUAAUACGUAGGGGGCAAGCGUUAUCCGGAUUUACUGGGUGUAAAGGGAGCGUAGACGGCAGCGCAAGUCUGAAGUGAAAACCCGGGGCUCAACCCUGGGACUGCUUUUGAAACUGAUUG